This 253-nucleotide ribosomal RNA is filed under the name uncultured bacterium. RNAcentral describes it as "partial 16S ribosomal RNA". It matches the Rfam family "Bacterial small subunit ribosomal RNA", at positions 524 to 776 of the family's 1533-position model. The record is from RNAcentral.
UACGGGGGGGGCAAGCGUUGUUCGGAAUUACUGGGCGUAAAGAGCUCGUAGGCGGCUUGUCACGUCGGGUGUGAAAGCCCGGGGCUUAACCCCGGGUCUGCAUUCGAUACGGGCUAGCUAGAGUGUGGUAGGGGAGAUCGGAAUUCCUGGUGUAGCGGUGAAAUGCGUAGAUAUCUGGAGGAACACCGGUGGCGAAGGCGACAUCCUGGACCGGUAUUGACGCUGAGGCGCGAAAGCCAGGGGAGCAAACGGG